UCUGGCAUCUCUCACUUAAGGAGAAAUACUGAGGAGGAAAGCAUGUGUGGAGUCCUUUACUGAGACUGCACAAGCAGAGUGGUAGAAGCUGGUUUGCAAUGUCAAACACCAGGUUCUUGUUUCUGACCUCAGUGGAGUUUGCUGCAACGCUCUGCUGCUCAUGGCAACAUCGAAAUUACCAACCUGAGCCAAAAUCACACAGCUUAGGAGACAAGGCUGGUUAGUUUUCCUGUGACCUUCUGGAGAAGCCUAAGGAGGAAAAUAUCUGUGGCAUGGAAGUGCACGGUUUGACCUCAAG
Long non-coding RNA from Strigops habroptila (Kakapo), 298 nucleotides. RefSeq lists it as uncharacterized. Lineage: Eukaryota; Metazoa; Chordata; Aves; Psittaciformes; Psittacidae. The transcript has 3 exons. The record is from RefSeq and is a predicted model, not a curated record.